GAUGAAGAACGUAGCGAAAUGCGAUACGUAAUGUGAAUUGCAGAAUUCAGUGAAUCAUCGAGUCUUUGAACGCACAUUGCGCCCUCUGGUAUUCCGGAGGGCAUGCCUGUCCGAGCGUCAUUGCUGCCCUCAAGGACGGCUUGUGUGUUGGGCCCCGCCCCCCGAUCCCGGGGGGCGGGCCCGAAAGGCAGCGGCGGCACCGCGUCCGGUCCUCGAGCGUAUGGGGCUUUGUCACCCGCUCUGUAGGCCCGGCCGGCGCUUGCCGAUCAACCAAACUUUUUUCCAGGUUGACCUCGGAUCAGGUAGGGAUACCCGCUGAACUUAAGCAUAUCAAUAAGCGGAGGA
This 345-nucleotide unclassified non-coding RNA is filed under the name soil metagenome. RNAcentral's name for it is "partial contains 5.8S ribosomal RNA, internal transcribed spacer 2, and large subunit ribosomal RNA". The stretch from base 1 to 120 matches the Rfam family "5.8S ribosomal RNA", at positions 35 to 154 of the family's 154-position model. The record is from RNAcentral.